Molecule: ribosomal RNA, 377 nt
Filed under: Mithrax pleuracanthus
Lineage: Eukaryota; Metazoa; Arthropoda; Malacostraca; Decapoda; Mithracidae
Description: partial 12S ribosomal RNA
Source: RNAcentral
UGAAACCAGGAUUAGAUACCCUACUAUACUAAGAUAAUAGGAAAAACUAGAAUAUUAAAAGAUAUAGUCUUUAAAUUCAAAGAAUUUGGCGGUAAUUUAGUCUUUCCAGAGGAACCUGUUUUUUAAUCGAUAAACCACGAAUAAUCUUACUUAUCUUUGUAAAUUUAAUAAGUUUGUAUACCGUCAUUAUCAGAUGAUAUUUAGAGAUGAUAUUAUUGGAUUUUAAAUAGUAAAAAAAAUUAGAUCAAGGUGCAGCUAAUAGAUAAGUUAAAAUGGGUUACAAUUAACUGGAUUUAAUAAUGAAUAAAGAUUUGAAAAAUCUUUGGAAGGAGGAUUUGGUUGUAAUUAAAAUUAGUAUGAUAAAAAGAUAUGAGCUC